AUGACAUAUCCCCUUUGCUUUGUAGGGCCUCCUGCAAAACAUUCUUCCUUGAAGCCUAGCACUGGAGUGGAAGAUCCUGCUGUGAAAGGAGCAGUACAAAGAAAGAAUGUACAGACAUUGAGAGCAGGUACAUUUAAUGGAAUACUGGAAAUAAGUACAUUCAAUGAUUGGAAGUACUCACAUUAUUCUUAUUCCUAAUUCUGUUUGUUCAAAAUUGAAUGGAAGGCAUUGACAUAAAUGUUAUUGUUGGUAUCCAUAUUUGAAUAAAAAUAAAUUUAGAAGCAUAAAAAAGAUUUUAAAAAUGUAAGCUUUAACUCAGAUGUUUCUCUUUUAAUGUUUUGAAUAGCAUGAAGUUUUCAGUAUAAAAUUUUUAUACCUGUCAGGGAUUCAAAGCAGUGAAUUUUGAGACUCUAAGAUAUUUCCAGUGAGUUAAGUGCUACUUGGAGUUCUGAUCUUUACCUAGAGGAAAGCUUUACUUAUUAACAUGUCAGAUUCUGUUUUAACUUUAGAGGCUUGCUGCUAGUGUUAUUACACUGAUGAUCUGAAGCCAAUCAGAUGUUCUAAUGAGCAAGACUGUGUGUGUAGGUGUAUAUAUAGCUGUGUGUAUGUGUGUGUUUGUGGCAUCUUUGACUAUUAAAAAUGAGGAAAGUAAUGAUUCAUUUGUAACUGGUAGACACAGUCUUUUAAAAUGGUGAUUUUGAGACUUUUUGGUGUUAAGGUUUUUAAAACAUGAUUGCAUAGAGGCUACCGACAUCAUAAGUUGGUCGUUUUUCAUUUCAAUGCCCUUUUGAAAUCUUUAACUAUAUUGUGAUGCUCAGAAAUAAUAUGCAGAAUUUUUUAUUUGUGUCCCAAAAUGGUAUGUGAGUGGUUAUACACUUUACAUACCUUUCUGCCACUUUCUUUGGUGUAUUUUGUAUUAUAUUUUCCAGAUGUAUCCACAUUGAUAUGAUUAUCUCUGGUUUAAUUCAUUUUACACUUUUCAUUGUAUUCCCUUAUACCACUUUACCACAUUUAGUUAGACUCUCCUGUUGCUGAUAAAUGAAGAAAGAAAGAAAAAUAAAAAUAAUGUCAGAUUAAGUGGGCUUUUCUUUAAUCAGUUUGUAUUUAUUAAUAUUUACUAUAUGAGAUUUUAAAGUUGAAAAGUUCAGAAUACAAGCAUGCACCACCAUAUUUUAUAAAUGCCCUUAGAACUGUGACUCAUGAGCCUUUAGCCUAUGAAGUUAGGACGAUUCAUUUCUCUGAAGAAGUUUGUUGUGCUGUUCUCAGAAAAGAAAACUGAAAAUAGCAAAUGAUAUUGUCUUAUUUGACCUCUUGGACAUCUUUGAAUGAAACUGCAACUCCAGGGAUACUCAGAUCAAAAUUCAGAACUAAUGUUUUGAACAAUAUAGUUUGUGAAUGUCCAGUGGAUCAUGAGCCCUUGAUGGGAAAAUGACCUUUCAAGUUUCACUUUUGCAUUUUUUGCUCUUUUCCUUGACUUGUCUUAAAAGCUUAAAUUCAACCGUUUUAUUUUUACAGAAACCAGAAUAUAACUUUUAAAAUUUAUGUCUGUCCUGUCUCACGGUGUUGUGUACUCUUCAGAUCUUGUGUGAACAUAGACUUACGUGGGAACAAUUAGGUUUUUUGUUUGUUUGUUUGUGUUUUUGAGACAGAGUCUUGCUCUGUCACCAAGGCUGGAGUGCAGUGGCUCGGUCUUGACUCAUUACCACCUCUGCCUCUCGGGUUCAAGCAAUUCUCCUGCCUCAGCCCCUCGAGUAGCUGAUACUACCUGCAUGUGCUACCAUACCCUGCUAAAUUCUCUAUUUUUAGUAGAGAUGGGGUUUCACCAUGUUGGCCAGGCUGCUCUCAAACUCCUGAUCUCAGGUGAUCUGCCUGCCUCAGCUUGCCAGUAUGCUGGGAUUACAGGCAGGAGCCACUGUGCCAGGUACAAAUAAUAUUUUUAAGGCUAUUAUAUUUUAUACAAUUCUUUGGUCUAUGUGAAUUCUGAAGGUAUUCAUGCAUUGAGGGAAGAUCAUCUCAGUGUAAUGAAAGCAGUUUUUAAUGUAUAUUCAUUAAAAUUUUUUUUGAAUUUUUUGUCUCUAGCACACAGAAACACACAAUAUUGUCAUGGGUAUUUGACCUUAAUGUGUUUAUGCACAAACUUAGUUAUUCAAAUAUUUUCUUAUCCCUGAAGAAUCCUAAUUAUUAAUAAAAAAAUUUCUCAUGGAAAACAACAUAUAUAAUAGAGAUUGUUGAGUGAUAAAUUGUAGUAAAUAACAGAAGCUUAGAACAAGUUAAGUAAACUUGUCUGAGUUAAUAGCAAUUACAGGACUUUUAAAAUACAUUAGACCAUGAGAGAGUAGUGUGUUUGUGGGGUACAGGACAUCAUGGUCCUGCUUCAGUGAAGAAAGAACUUUUACACCUUAUUACAAUUUGUAUUACUAUUUACAUUCUAAUAAAAACUUUAUUUUCAGAUAUUUUAGAUUAUGUUUCUACUAGUUGAACCAUCAAUAGUAAGACUUUUCAAAGAUUUGGGAAGUUACGAGUUGAUGAUAAAUAUCUGUAUCACCAUCCAUGAUCAAAAAUCAGACAGCAACUACAAGACUUUGGACACGCGAACUUCAUAGUUAAAGAAAGGAUUAAUCUUGGAGCUGUGUUUUUAUCAGGGAAUUAUACUCUUCAUUACCUCUGUGAAUUGCAGUUAUUAGAGUAGAAAGAGAGCAAAGAAGGGAAACAAACAUAGAAAAUUUUAUUCUAGAUUACCUCAGUUGGCUUCAUGCUACCAUAGUUCUAGCUUUUAAAAAGUCAUUUUGUGGUCAAAUGUACUUUGUGUUUACUCCCUUUAUGCAGCCUACAACCAAACAGAAUGCUUCUUAGCAAGGCAUUUGUAUUCUUCCCUUAAGGAAAGCAACAUAUAAAUAACAAAGAGAAUGAGGAGAAAGAGUAAUUUCAUUGAAGUUGGUAUUUAACAUAAAUUUGUGUGCGGGUACCAUGAUUAUAUUUAGAAUUUUGGGCCUGGAAUAGAAAACCAGCUAGACGUCUACAGAUUUCCUACUCAAACACAAUAUGCCUUUGUUUUAUUUUUACAUCUCUAAUUUUGCAAUUAUUAGGUACAACUGUAUGCAUUGUCACUAAAAAUAUUAAAUAUUAAAUAUUUAAUAUUUAAUAUUUUUAGUGACAAAUAUUAAAUAAUGCCUAUGGCAAAACCAAAUAUUAAAUAAUGCCUAUGGCUUUCUGUAUUAUAAUGUUGAUUUCCCCAAUAUUAAUGGGAACCAUUGAGCGUUUGCCUUGUGGUGUCUCCUCAGCUGUAUUCACACAUUCCAUCACCUUGUCUUAAUGGAUAAUCAUGCACUAUGAGUAUGGGUUUUCAGAAGAGCUGUAUCAUUUAAAGAUAACACAGGAGCAUCAAAUUUAAUUCUGCUAGAAUACCUGGUCUGUUGAUUAACUGCAGCUAAUAUGGGGUCUACUUCACAUACAAGUUAAAUUCAGUGCCCUUAAUCAGUCAUAUGAUCAGGUCAACAGUAAUAAAUUAUGCAAUAUUUUUUCACCCCUAUAGUUUUAAUUUCUUUUUCCCCUUAUGUCUAGAAUUAACAUUUUAUUUUACAAAACAUGAUGAUAAUCUUCUAGAGUAGUGAUGACGAAGUAUAAAUGCAAGGUUUCUUACCUAUGCAAAUGACUUGUUUGCUUCUAUUUUCUCAUGAACUUGGUAGAUCCAGGAAACAGAACUUUUAAAACAAAAUCCCCAUAUGUGGCUGGGCGCGGUGGCUCGUGCCUGUAAUCCCAGCACUUUGGGAGGCUGAGGCGGGCAGAUAACCUGAGGUUGGGAGUUUGAGACCAGCCUGACCAACAUGGAGAAACACAUCUCUACUAAAAACACAAAAUUAGCUGUGCAUGGUGGCACAUACCUGUAAUUCCAGCUACUCGGGAGGCUGAGACAGGAGAAUCACUUGAACCUGGGAGGCAGCAGUUGUGGUGAGCUGAGAUUGCACCACUGCACUUCAGCCUGGGAAGCAAGGGUGAAACUCCAUCUCAAACAACAACAACAACAACAACAACAACAACAACAGCAGCAGCAGCAACAACCACCACAAAACCCAAAUGCAUUUCCUUGGCACAGUAAAACUGAAACAGAAAAAGUGUAAAGUAAAUACAAGUAACUGAAACAGUUUAUGUAUAUUAUUUUACUUCUCAUUUGAUAAAAUUUGUAAAGUAAUGAGCAGAGUGUAUUUCUCCAGGGACCCAGAUAUAUACAUUUAUUCAUUCAAUAAAAAUUCAUUCUUAUAAUGACCACUGAUACUUGUAUCCUAAAUAUUUCUGAAAACAUCUCCUCAGGACUGCAUCAUCUUUGCAACACUGCCUUAUAUUUUAUCUUUGUUCAUUGAUUUAUAUGCCUCAGAAUUUUAUGCUCCUCACAAUAAUUAGAGUUAAUUAUCUCUAAUGCAAAUAGAUCUGUGAACAACUCCUGAAUACCUAUGUCCAAGCAUCUUAAAGUUUUAUAUAAGGAUUUCAGAAACUGAUUUCUGGGUUGGGCAUGGUGGCUCGUGUCUAUAAUCCCAGCACUUUGGGAUGCUGAGGCAGGUGGAUCAUUUGAGGUCAGGAGUUCAAGACCAGCCUGGCCAACAAGGCGAAACCCCA
Molecule: long non-coding RNA, 4611 nt
Organism: Pan troglodytes (chimpanzee)
Lineage: Eukaryota; Metazoa; Chordata; Mammalia; Primates; Hominidae
Source: Ensembl